UGCUGUGUUUUUCUCUCUCUG
This 21-nucleotide non-coding RNA is filed under the name Caenorhabditis elegans. The record is from RNAcentral. Lineage: Eukaryota; Metazoa; Nematoda; Chromadorea; Rhabditida; Rhabditidae.